UUUUCAGAUAUAGUACAACAAAAAACCUUUAAUUAUUUCAGUUUAAAGUGUUUAAUGUUGUCUUAUAUAUUUUUUCCAGAAUUAUUUUACCCUAAUCAUUUUUAAGCCAUAAAUUAAUAUCAUCAUCUCAUGGUCUUGCUUGUUGCAGAAACAGUCUAUGGUCCUUCUGGUUUUCACGAUCCUUUAGGUUAUUUUAUCUGCUUUAUUUUUAACAUUUAAUUAAGCUUUUGUUCACAAUUUUUUCUCUUCAAAAGUUUUAUUUGUGUUGUCCAGGAAUAUAUUCUGUCCACACCUUAUCAUCUUGUCACCAUUAUUAAGUUUCCUGUGAUAAAUGUCUAAUUUGCCCAUAUAUGGGCAUAGUGAUGUCAUGUCACACCCAUAUAUGGGAAAAUCAAAUGUACUGAUCACACGGCCAGAUUUAUUAGUCACACCAAGCAAAGAACAUGUGCCAAAUUCAGAAAGUGUCUUGUUUAAGAUGAAAAUUAUUGUGCUAUUGGAAGGACAUACUCUGUACUAGAAUACAUUUGUAAGAAUGAUAGGUCAAAAACACAGUAUUGAAAUGUUAAUUUGAAUAUGCCUGUAAACCUACAAUAAUCAUGGAAGCAGCCAACAUGCAGGAAAAUUAGGAAUAAAAAAAAUUCACAAGAAAUUGUGCACAGUACUCUCAUUGCGACAUGUAAGUAUCAAGUGCAAUGGCGCAUGUGCAAUAAAUCACUGUAUCUGCAUUUUUUUUUUUUAGCCAAAACUAUUAUCUAACUCAAGAUGAUGUGAAGAUUGCUUUAUUACGGUAAAUAAAGCCCUGUCCAAACUAUCAAAUUUUGUUUGAAAAUAACAUGUGACAUGCCUAAAUAUGGUCAUGAUGACAUCACAUAACUAAUUUUGGGCACAAAUCAGUUUUUUUUUAAAGAAAAUUUGACUGGUUAGAGUUUAAAGUGGAUUUAUUUCAACUUACAUCACAUGAUGCCAUUGAUGAAGACAAUACACAACUUUAGGUUUCAUUACUCGUAUAUUUAUUCAAAGCCAUCACAUGACUAAAUAUGGGCACAGAUCAGUUUUUUGUUAAAGAAAAUUUGACUGGUUAGAGUUUAAAGUGGAUUUAUUUCAACUUACAUCACAUGAUGCCAUUGAUGAAGAUAAUACACAACCUUAGGUUUCAUUACUCGUAUAUUUAUUAAAAGCGCAUAUAUACAUAUAAUUGCUCAUGCCUAAGGCUGUACAUAAAUAUACAAUCUUAAAAGUGAAGUUACUCAUAAGUUACUCAUAAUAAUAUUAGACAAAAUUUAAUUAUAGAAAAAAACAUCAGAUAAAAAUCAGUGAUUUUAAAAAUUUUACCAACUUGAUUUAGAAAGUUAAAUUGUGAAGCUUCUAGCAAAUUAUCAUUUUAGAACAACUUUACAACAGUCAGAUUAAAUUAUUUGGGCUUGAUGUCUUUGGUUUUAAAGUUAUAUUUAUGUAAUCCUUUUGCGAGCAUUUUUUAAUCUCCUUAAUUUAAAUUCAUAUUAAAUCCAUCAGUAAUGACAAAACUCACUAACUUAAAUGUCGAUUUACCUCAAACUCUAAAUCCUCAAAUAAGUACUGCUGCACUGUAUAAAAUUUUUGGAACUUAAGUGCAGUGCUUAUUAGAGAGCAGUGCUUACUAAAAAAAUAUUGGCAUGAUGCUUUCCAUGCCAGUUGCCAUGUUACAUAUCUUGCAUAUUUCUGUAGUUUGGUAGGCAUAUAAUAGACCCUACAUCAUCGUAAAUAAAGGUUACAUGUGCCUGUCUUCAUUUUGUUAUUUAUUAAUUUGAACACCCUGUUUCUCUCUGUUUUACUACACACAAUGUAGUAUGUACUCUUGAAUAAGUGCAUCGGUGCUUAUUCAAAAUAUAAUAAUCAAGAGCGGCACUUAGUGAAAAAAAAAAUCACAUUAUUCGAGGAUUCAGGGUAAUUAUAGACAAAACUUUGAAAACUAAUGUUUGUUUGUUUUGUUUUAUUAUUUUUUUUUACCUCACACAAAUUAUAUUAAACAGUACAAACUUAAUAAUACAAAUGAAAUAAGAAAAAAAAACCUAAAUACUGGUAUACUGGGGUUUAGCCAGAAAAACGAAGCCAGUGGGCAUGGCGCUGAGCCGAUGGGUGGGCCACACCCCCUCCCAAACAUAAGAAAAAA
Molecule: long non-coding RNA, 2149 nt
Filed under: Anneissia japonica
Lineage: Eukaryota; Metazoa; Echinodermata; Crinoidea; Comatulida; Comatulidae
Description: uncharacterized LOC117103951
Source: RNAcentral